Unclassified non-coding RNA from Erinaceus europaeus (western European hedgehog), 314 nucleotides. Its record names the gene 7SK. It matches the Rfam family "7SK RNA". Rfam says of the family: 7SK was discovered as an abundant small nuclear RNA in the mid-70s but a possible function has only recently been suggested. NCBI's taxonomy places the organism in Eukaryota, Metazoa, Chordata, Mammalia, Eulipotyphla, Erinaceidae. The record is from Ensembl.
AGAUGUGAGGGCGAUCUGGCUGUGACAUCUGUCACCCCAUUGAUCGCCAGGGUUGAUUCCGCUGAUCUGGCUGGCUAGGUGGGUGUCCCCUUCCUCCCUCACCGCUUCAUGUGCGUGCCUCCCGAAGCUGCGCGCUCGGUCAAAGAGGACGGCCUUCCUUGAAUAGAGACAGACCGGUCUUCGGUCUAGGGCAUAGGAGUAGCUGCGCUCCCCUGCUAGAACCUCCAAACAAGCUCUCAAGUAUUGAAUACUGCAGGUCCAGAUCCAUAUUAGAGAAAUAAUUUGCAGAUCUGAGGUCCCAGAGGCUUCAGAUU